UUGGCAUAAUACACUUUUUUUUCAUGUUCCUACCUUCUGUCUUUCCUAAGGGGGAAAGGUUCAUAUAAAUAACCUGGACAACACCCUUAAAAAAUUGGGACUUGAGCUCACGGAAGAGGAACUUGCAAAGCUGUCAAAAAAUCUACAAGUUGAUGCUAAUGGAAUGGUUGGUCUGAAAGAGGUGAUGGAUGGAGUAAAAGCUACUACAGGAGGGGAGGUUGAUGUCAAAGAUGUGAAAGCUAUUCUGAAAAACAUGGGAAUAGAGUUCACAGAUAAGGAACGUUUGAAGCUGCUGAAAAAUCUGCCUUUCAAUGAUGAUAACAAGGUCUUUAAAAACAGGUUGCUAGAUGGUGUGAAGUCCCUUAAAGGUGAGUGAGAAACAUAAUAAGAAUACAAAUGAAUAUGAGAUCUUCAUUUUAUACUGUUUCCAAGAUAUGAAUUUGAAUGCUGCCAUCUGUCAUAUGUACUGAUUGCAAAUGUAUGCUUUUUUGGACCUCAAUCUUUAUUUUAGCAGUUGAAUCUGAUGUUCUAUCUUGGAAGUAAAGCACC
Panthera uncia (snow leopard) is the source of this 549-nucleotide long non-coding RNA. RefSeq lists it as uncharacterized. NCBI's taxonomy places the organism in Eukaryota, Metazoa, Chordata, Mammalia, Carnivora, Felidae. The record is from RefSeq and is a predicted model, not a curated record. The transcript is spliced from 4 exons.